GAAUUCUUGCCCCGGUAGGGGGGGAUAACCCUGGGGAAACCCAGGCUUAAUACCGCAUACGUCCUACGGGAGAAAGGGGGCUUCGGCUCCCGCUAUUGGAUGAGCCUAUGUCGGAUUAGCUGGUUGGUGAGGUAACGGCUCACCAAGGCAACGAUCCGUAGCUGGUCUGAGAGGAUGAUCAGCCACAUCGGGACUGAGACACGGCCCGAACUCCUACGGGAGGCAGCAGUGGGGAAUAUUGGACAAUGGGGGCAACCCUGAUCCAGCCAUGCCGCGUGUGUGAAGAAGGCCCUCGGGUUGUAAAGCACUUUCAGCGAGGAAGAACGCCUGGUGGUUAAUACCCAUCAGGAAAGACAUCACUCGCAGAAGAAGCACCGGCUAACUCCGUGCCAGCAGCCGCGGUAAUACGGAGGGUGCAAGCGUUAAUCGGAAUUACUGGGCGUAAAGCGCGCGUAGGUGGCUUGAUAAGCCGGUUGUGAAAGCCCCGGGCUCAACCUGGGAACGGCAUCCGGAACUGUCAGGCUAGAGUGCAGGAGAGAAAGGUAGAAUUACCCGUGAAUCGGAUCAGGGCGCAGAAUUAGAUACCCUGGUAGUCCUGAGUUUGAUCCUGGCUCAGGAUUAGAUACCCUGGU
RNAcentral lists this ribosomal RNA (632 nucleotides) under Halomonas sp. R675. RNAcentral describes it as "bacterial SSU rRNA". It matches the Rfam family "Bacterial small subunit ribosomal RNA", at positions 121 to 690 of the family's 1533-position model. Lineage: Bacteria; Pseudomonadati; Pseudomonadota; Gammaproteobacteria; Oceanospirillales; Halomonadaceae. The record is from RNAcentral.